RNAcentral lists this long non-coding RNA (804 nucleotides) under Ananas comosus (pineapple). RNAcentral's name for it is "long non-coding RNA (ACOM_LNC024354)". Lineage: Eukaryota; Viridiplantae; Streptophyta; Magnoliopsida; Poales; Bromeliaceae. The record is from RNAcentral.
GAUGGUAGACGCGCAUUAGUGAGAGAGAUGUGAGGAUUGUAGAUGAUAGCAGACCGUUUGGAUACAUUAAUUAGAAGUAUGAAGAAAAAAGGAAAAGGAUCAUGAUAAAAUUAAUUGGAGAUAGAGAGAUGAGGAAUUGUAAAUGGCAUGGGACCAUAGAUGCAUUAAUUGGAAGCUUGGUAGUGGGACCUUUUAGUUACAUUAAUUAUUAAUUAGAAGUAUGAAGAAAAAAGGAAAAGGAUCAUGAUCAAAUUAAUUGGAGAUAGAGAGGUGAGGAAUUGUAAAUGGCAUGGGACCAUAGAUGCAUUAAUUAGAAGCUUGGUAGUGGGACCUUUUAGUUACAUUAAUUAUUAAUUAUAUUCAUUAAUUAAAAGUUUAGUCGAGAGAAGAAAAAAGAGUUAUAUGCUCCCGAGGGUGAAGGAGAAUUUGUCAUGUGGUAAAAAAAUAUUAAAGAAUCAUAUAGAUUAUUAUUAUUAGAAGAUUAAUUAAUAUAUUAAUAGAUAAUAGAUAGAUUAAGUAUUUUUUAACAUGAAAAGUAUUAAAAAAAUAGUUAGAUCCUAAAAAAGUAUUAUAAUUCUUGGAUAAAGAUAAAAAAAUUAUAGACAAAUAGUUUAUUUUUUCCUUUUUUUUAUGAGAGCGGAGGGAUGGAGAGUGAGGUUGAGUUGAGAGAGGACAGGUGAAAGUAGAAAGGCAUGGCCAUAGUGGUGAAAACAGAUUGGAUGCAGUUUGGCAGUUGAUAAAAUUGUAUUUAUUUUUCUUUGAGAUUAAAAAUUCGAAUGCAUCAUAUAUAUGGAAUGCUAAAAU